CACGGGAAUCCCCGCCGCGCUCGAGCGGGCGACGCUCCAAACGGGCUGAAAAAACUGCUCUUUCGGCGUGAAAACGCGAAGGGGGAAAAGCGAUAAAAAAAGUGCAAGGACUUGUUGAACUUUUUAAACGGAAAAUGCCCCAGGGACACGGACGUGGCUGUUUCUGGAUCGUGUCUGGGUGAUGCCGGCACCCACGUGCAGAUGCUCGUGCAGCGUAACUGUGUGACGAGGCUGAACCUGCAGCUACAGCGUCACACACGUAGGUGCGGUGUUCCUAGGAGUUACUGACCCCACGGAGACGGAC
Molecule: long non-coding RNA, 304 nt
Organism: Nothoprocta perdicaria
Lineage: Eukaryota; Metazoa; Chordata; Aves; Tinamiformes; Tinamidae
Exons: 3
Source: RefSeq, a predicted model, not a curated record